Molecule: long non-coding RNA, 513 nt
Filed under: Mytilus galloprovincialis (Mediterranean mussel)
Lineage: Eukaryota; Metazoa; Mollusca; Bivalvia; Mytilida; Mytilidae
Source: RNAcentral
ACUGAUAAAAUUGAGAAUGGAAAUGGGGAAUGUGCCAAAGAGACAACAACCCGACCAUAGAAAAAAACAACAUCAGAAGGUCACCAACAGGUCUUCAAUGUAGCGAGAAAUUCCCGCACCCGGAGGCGUCCUUCAGCUGGCCCCUAAACAAAUAUAUACUAGUGCAGUGAUAAUGAACGCCAUACUAAUUUCCAAAUUGUACACAAGAAACUAAAAUUAAAAUAAUACAAGACUAACAAAGGCCAGAGGUUCCUGACUUGGGACAGGCGCAAAAAUGCGGCGGGGUUAAACAUGUUUGUGAGAUCUCAACCCUCCCUCUAUACCUCUAGCCAAUGUAGAAAAGUAAACGCAUAACAAUACGCACAUUAAAAUUCAGUCCGAGUCUGAUGUCAGAAGAUGUAACCAAAGAAAAUAAACAAAAUGACAAUAAUACAUAAAUAACAACAGACUACUAGCAGUUAACUGACAUGCCAGCUCCAGACUUCAAAUAAACUGACUGAAAGAUUAUGAUUU